GCCGAAGACGACACUGGGUCAACAUAAGGGGAUGGAGGGAGGGUGCAAGUAUAUUCGCUAUUGUGACCAUAUGGAUGAUCCAAAACCUUUUUACAGUAUGUAGGCUCAGGUUCACCCUGAGGAGGCAACUAAAACACCCCGCAUCGAGCAUCCUGCCCUACUGAGGUGCACAUUUGGGCUGCGUAAUGGCUGAUAAAGGGGUCCAGCCAUGGGCAUAAAAUAGAUCCUAAAUGCUGCAUGCUACUAGAGAAUAGACUGCCACUCAGACUUAACUGGAGUCUUAUUAAUUCGGUGUUGGAGUUAAUUUUCAUCUUGGAGGCCUGAGUGGAAACAGAAUACAUUAUGGAAAACCCCAGCUAUCUGUCAAGUUGGCUAGAGCGGGCAGCACAUGUUCCUGUGGAUUCAGAUGGCCAGUCAAGGAGAUCUCUCAGCAGAGAACCCCUCAGACUGACAGUUGCAUGCUGGGACAUCACUAUGAAUCAACCCUCACCAAUGCUUUGAUGCCACCAAAACACGAAGGA
This is a long non-coding RNA of Cyprinus carpio carpio, 521 nucleotides long. Lineage: Eukaryota; Metazoa; Chordata; Actinopteri; Cypriniformes; Cyprinidae. The record is from Ensembl.